AAAAUAUAUAAAUUAGAGAGUUAUCAUGCUCUCUUAGAGACAAAGGCUGACUGAUUUUCAGAAAUUAUAUAUGUAGGAUUGGUUGGAGUCUUCUAGAUAGCACCUUCGAAAUAAUUUUGUAGAAAAUUGUGCAGAGGGAAAUAGGUCGAUAUUCAGACAUCUUUUGGGGGCAUUGAACGUUGGGUAUGAGUCUGAUGUUUGUUUCAUUGAUCGACUUUUGCAGGCAUUCAGAAUGGAAGAAGUUUUGAACUUCUAGAAUGAUAUUUGGCCCCACUGUAUCCCAGUUCGUGUGAAAGAAGCUAGCCGAGAACCCAUCUGGUCCAGGAGCUUUUUCUGCGUGUAUGGAGAAGCAAGCGGUCUUUAUUUUGGCAUCAGUUGGUAGAGCAGUGAGAGAUAGGUUCAUUUCCUCAGAGAUACAGGGUUUAAUAACUUCUUGUACUGUCUCCAGUCUAGUGCUCCCUUAGGAGGUGAAGAGGUCCUCAAAAUACGAGCUUUGUAGGCCAAAAGCAGUUCUUUAUUCAGUCUGGAGAUAUCUUCCUGGGUGGGAGAUGGGUUCGACAUAGCUGCAUCCAGCUGGUCCUUGAGGCUUUCAUUGGGUGAGCAAAGGUCGGUGGUCAGAGCCUUGAAAUCUCAAAUAUUCACUGCAGCUAAAGGGGAAUAAUUCCGCCCAAGCUCCAUUUAACAUAGCCCUGUCUAGACGACAGAACACAAGCUGAUCAUGCCGCUUUCCUAUCCAUGAGAGAAAGUUACUUGAAUGGCGUAAGUCAAACAGGUCCCAUUCUGACAUGAACGAGCGUAUGUCUACGAAUGUCCCUACGUGACGGGGAGGUCUUCUUUGUUUUUCAGAGGCAUCAAUGAUAUCGUUGAAAUCACGUGUCAAGAACCAGGGCUCCUCUUUCUCUAAACCCAGGGCCAAUCCUCCUCCCCCUGGGCUAUGGGGUGGGAUCAAGAGGUGGGAAGGGUAGUUCAACCAUUGUAAGGAGCUUAAGACUUUUUUCAUCUGGGUUCUUCGUCUCCAUCAGGAACAAGACUUCCGGUGAGAUUUUGGAAUGAAACUCCCGGAGGCAUUGAACUGUUGUAGGGUUCCCCAGCUCACAACAGUUCCAGCUUAGUAACUUUAAGGAAGAGGAUAAGGUGGAUUGUGAAAAUCCACCUUCUUCUUCACCAUUAUCUGGGAUUAGCUUUCCUUGUGGUGCACCGUUACCAUUCUUACUGUUUUCUCCACGGUGGGAGGGUCCAGCUUCAGAGGUACUUCUCCGCUUUGAGGUGGUCUCCCGCGUCUUUUCUUUCCAGGGGCAUUGGAUAGCUGAUUAGUCUCCCGAAGUGGUACAGUCGUAACAGCUUCCAGAGGGGAUGUUCCAGGAGGAGUCAGUUGCUCCAAAUUAUCAUUUUGAUUUGAUGCUAUUGCCGCCUCUAUAAUUCUGUUAGCAGUUUCUGCUGUUAGACCUUUAGCUUCACCUUGAAUUACUCUACAUUUCCUUGCAACACUCUCAGUAGGGUCAGCACAGCUCAUAUAUUGAACUGUUACCUCUCGGAGGGUUCCCAUAACCUCCUCAGUAGAAGGAAGAGGCAUAGGUGGAGGAGGGGUUACUUCUGCUGAAGACAAGGUGUGCUCCGCCAGGGGGCGUCUGGUGAUGGACGUUUCAGAAUUUCCAGCUCGGAUUAAGUAUUUUCUCUCCAGCAUAGAUUUGUCUUUUUGUAUCCUCCACCAUAGCUAUGAUGUGACCUUGAGUAGUCGUUUCUAGAGGAUGAUAGGGAGCGGCCAGUUGGCCUUGGUGGGAAAGCAGGGCUACUUCUUUCACGCGAGUCAAGGGCUCUAUGGUGGUGACUGUCAGGGUUGGUGCCCAGCAGGCUUCGUUUAUAAGGUGACAAAGCAUGGAAGGACCCUCGAGAGUUUUAUUGGUGACGAAAUGUAUUCGUGGGGCUUUAUUUGGAAUGAUGGUUCACCUGAGUUGUCUCUAGAGUCCUCUGUCCGUUCUGACUAACUUGUGGUGCCCUAAAAUUGUCCCAAGGGGUGUAGUAGUUCCGCUGGGGUUCACUCUUUCCUGGAGCAUUUGUUUGGGGGAUCAGCUCCUCUUGUCUCUCAGAUGCCGCUAAAAACCCUGGGCAAACUUUCUUUUCAUGGGAUAGUCUAUUACAAAAGGAGCAGUAGUUUUUGAGGUUUUUGUAGCGGAAGGAGAUCAGGGCUUCACUGCCAUCUUUAAACUCGACUAUUGUCUCCUUUACCAGAGGAAGCCAGAGGUGUUUUGGGAGUCCUUGGAUAUCAAUCCAGUAAGGAAUCUUUGAUGGGAAAGUCUCCGAUAUAACAGGUUCCCAUUUUUGAAUGAUAACCAUCCACUGGUCGAAGUGGUAUGGUCUAUUGUCUAGCACUUUCUGCAUAUCUUCUUCAUUAGCUUGGGACUGAACCUGAAGCUUUACCUCGAAGGUUCCAAUGAUUUGAGAGGAAUGGAAAAAGAGACCAUAGUCUUUGAACCGGUGGGUUUGUAAGGCGACCCAUUAAGGUAGGGGGAGAGAAACCGCCCUCAAUGUUUUUCCCUUUCAGGUGAUAUGGCAUCCUCUUAUCCAUGGUUCGAGCACUUCAGUAGCAGGAAGGUCAGGGUGAUGGAGGGAUGGUUUUGAGAACACAGGUUACUCACUUAGCAAGUGAGAUUUUUAAACAAGGCAGUAACACAGGUAAACAGGGUUAAACUUUUGAAGCUAAGGAAAACAAAAAACUACCUUUGGAGGGGUGAUCUGAAGGCAGAUGUGUAGGAGCUGCAUUUUUGUUACGAGCAACCGCUCCAACAGAUAUCUUAAACAACCCAUCACGAACAAAUUCCUUACCCAAAUACAACCCAUAUUUGGAAAGUACAAGCUUAUACGUAUCUAAAUUAACAGUAAAUCCAUGCUUGCUAAGGAGAGAUCCGGAGAUUAAGUUCUUACGCAUCUCUGGUACGUGAACUACAUUCGUCAAAGUGAGCUCAUGUCCAGAAGUAAGCUUUAAGACAAUCUUCCCGUAACCUUCAACCUUUGAGGUGGCGGAGUUUCCCAUGAAAAGUCUCUCGUCACUCUCAUUUUUCUUGUAGGUUUAAAACAUCGACCUAUCCAAGCAAAUGUGCCUAGUUGCACCGGUAUCAAACCACCACGUCUUUGGAUGGCUCUCGGCAAAGUUAACCUCUGUGACUACCGCACACAAGUCAGCUCCGGUGGAGACGUUCAAGUCUUCACUGGCCAUGUCUGAAACACAAACACAAAGCUUUUUUCAGAACAAUAUAUCAAGUCGUGAGAUGACUCUGAUAAUCAAGUGAAUAAAUCAACAACA
Non-coding RNA from Camelina sativa (false flax), 3301 nucleotides. The record is from RefSeq and is a predicted model, not a curated record. NCBI's taxonomy places the organism in Eukaryota, Viridiplantae, Streptophyta, Magnoliopsida, Brassicales, Brassicaceae.